CAACUCCUUACUUCGGACUUUACAGAACGACACCUUUUGAAAUAUUUUGCUGUGCUUUCAGUGUGUACUGUGAUUACCUUUUUGGAAAAUUUGACCAUGAUACGCUUUAAAUGGAAUCAACCGAUUUGUGAUAACUCAGGAAGCAUAAUGAACUAUGUAAUGGAUGCUAUUUGCUCCUACUUCUAUAAUGAUAAAUACUAAGGAACUCUGUACCUGUGUGCACUCCAAAUGUAAACUUAUCACAACACUAUAACUUAGAAAUGCUUUAAUUAGCACAGAUAGCAAGUGCCAAAACCUAGAUUGGAGCUCAUUUGUGUGACUAAGCAAGUGGCAGUCUUCAACACUUAAUUGUAUUGACUGGUUGAAUUAUACCUCUAAUUUUUCUACUCUACCUAGGAAAAUGAUAUCUUAAAAUAUUAAAAGAUUAUAAUUUUGUUACUGUUGAGGAGGAGGAGCU
Molecule: long non-coding RNA, 457 nt
Filed under: Marmota monax (woodchuck)
Lineage: Eukaryota; Metazoa; Chordata; Mammalia; Rodentia; Sciuridae
Source: RNAcentral